UCUCCGUAGGUGAACCUGCGGAGGGAUCAUUACCGAGCUCAUGCCCUUACGGGCAGAUCUCCCACCCUGUGUUAUUAUUACCUUUGUUGCUUUGGCGGGCCGCCAGGCUCCGGUCAGGCUAUCGGCUUCGGCUGGUAAGCGCCCGCCAGAGGACCCUAUAUCCUGAUUAUUAGUGUCGUCUGAGUACUAUAUAAUAGUUAAAACUUUCAACAACGGAUCUCUUGGUUCUG
RNAcentral lists this unclassified non-coding RNA (230 nucleotides) under plant metagenome. RNAcentral's name for it is "partial contains small subunit ribosomal RNA, internal transcribed spacer 1, and 5.8S ribosomal RNA". The record is from RNAcentral.